GGAUAUCCAGACAGGGCAAA
This 20-nucleotide microRNA is filed under the name Ciona intestinalis (vase tunicate). Its description in RNAcentral is "cin-miR-4071-3p". Lineage: Eukaryota; Metazoa; Chordata; Ascidiacea; Phlebobranchia; Cionidae. The record is from miRBase by way of RNAcentral.